AGCCUGAACGCUGGCGGCGUGGCUAAGACAUGCAAGUCGCACGGGUGUAGCAAUACACCAGUGGCGCACGGGUGAGUAAUGUAUUGCUAAUGUACCCUUGAGCUGGGGAUAGCCAGUCGAAAGGCUGGGUAAUACCCGAUGAAAUAUCCUUGCCGCAUGGUGAGGACCUCAAAGCCGCAAGGCACUCUUGGAGCAGGCGAUAUCGUAUCAGCUAGUUGGUGAGGUAACGGCUCACCAAGGCGAUGACGCGUAGCUGGUCUGAGAGGACGACCAGCCACAUCGGGACUGAGACACUGCCCGGACUCCUACGGGGGGCUGCAGUAACGAAUCUUCCGCAAUGCACGAAAGUGUGACGGAGCGACGCCGCGUGUAGGACGAAGUCCUUCGGGAUGUAAACUACUGUCAGGGGAAAGAAAGUUCUGAUCUACCCCAGAGGAAGAGGCGGCUAACUCUGUGCCAGCAGCCGCGGUAAUACAGAGGCCUCGAGCGUUAGGCGGAAUCACUGGGCUUAAAGCGUGUGUAGGUGGAUGCCUAAGUACCUUGUGAAAUCCCACGGCUUAACCGUGGAAUGGCUGGGUAUACUGGGCGUCUUGAGCCACUCAGGGGCUACCGGAACAAAUGGUGGAGCGGUGAAAUGCGUAGAUAUCAUUUGGAACGCCAAUGGUGAAAACAGGUAGCUGGGGGUGUGCUGACACUGAGACACGAAAGCCAGGGGAGCGAACGGGAUUAGAUACCCCGGUAGUCCUGGCCCUAAACGAUGUCCACUAGAUCGUGGCGGUUCUAACGCCGUCACGGUCGAAGCCAAAGUGCUAAGUGGAC
Molecule: ribosomal RNA, 819 nt
Filed under: uncultured bacterium
Lineage: Bacteria
Description: bacterial SSU rRNA
Rfam family: Bacterial small subunit ribosomal RNA
Source: RNAcentral